RNAcentral lists this ribosomal RNA (253 nucleotides) under uncultured bacterium. RNAcentral's name for it is "partial 16S ribosomal RNA". It matches the Rfam family "Bacterial small subunit ribosomal RNA", at positions 524 to 776 of the family's 1533-position model. The record is from RNAcentral.
UACAGAGGUCUCAAGCGUUGUUCGGAUUCAUUGGGCGUAAAGGGUGCGUAGGCGGCGCGGUAAGUCGGGUGUGAAAUCUCGGAGCUUAACUCCGAAACUGCAUUCGAUACUGCCGUGCUUGAGGACUGGAGAGGAGACUGGAAUUUACGGUGUAGCGGUGUAAUGCGUAGAUAUCGUAAGGAAGACCAGUGGCGAAGGCGGGUCUCUGGACAGUUCCUGACGCUGAGGCACGAAGGUCAGGGGAGCAAACGGG